AACGUAGGUACCGGGCAUUAUCCGGAUUUACUGGGCGUAAAGCGUGUUCAGGCGGUCUGGCAAGUCGGGCAUGAAAUCUCUCGGCUCAACCGGGAGGGGUUGUCCGAUACUGCUGGACUGGAGGGCAGCAGAGGGUGGUGGAAUUCCGGGUGUAGUGGUGAAAUGCGUAGAUAUCCGGAGGAACACCAGUGGCGAAGGCGGCCACCUGGGCUGUACCUGACGCUAACACACGAAAGCUAGGGGAGCGAACGGG
RNAcentral lists this ribosomal RNA (253 nucleotides) under uncultured bacterium. Its description in RNAcentral is "partial 16S ribosomal RNA". It matches the Rfam family "Bacterial small subunit ribosomal RNA", at positions 524 to 776 of the family's 1533-position model. The record is from RNAcentral.